UGGGCAACCUGCCCCAGACACAGGGAUAACCCCGGGAAACCGGGGCUAAUACCGGAUACUCCGGUCGAACCGCAUGGCUCGAUCGGGAAAGCUCCGACGGUCUGGGAUGGGCCCGCGGCCUAUCAGCUUGUUGGUGGGGUGAUGGCCUACCAAGGCGACGACGGGUAGCCGGCCUGAGAGGGUGUCCGGCCACACUGGGACUGAGAUACGGCCCAGACUCCUACGGGAG
Molecule: ribosomal RNA, 229 nt
Filed under: uncultured bacterium
Lineage: Bacteria
Description: partial 16S ribosomal RNA
Rfam family: Bacterial small subunit ribosomal RNA
Source: RNAcentral